UACGUAGGGGGCUAGCGUUGUCCGGAAUCAUUGGGCGUAAAGAGCGUGUAGGCGGCCCGGUAAGUCCGCUGUGAAAGUCGGGGGCUCAACCCUCGAAUGCCGGUGGAUACUGUCGGGCUAGAGUGCGGAAGAGGCGAGUGGAAUUCCUGGUGUAGCGGUGAAAUGCGCAGAUAUCAGGAGGAACACCAAUUGCGAAGGCAGCUCGCUGGGACGGUACUGACGCUGAGGAGCGAAAGCGUAGGGAGCAAACAGG
This 253-nucleotide ribosomal RNA is filed under the name uncultured bacterium. RNAcentral describes it as "partial 16S ribosomal RNA". It matches the Rfam family "Bacterial small subunit ribosomal RNA", at positions 524 to 776 of the family's 1533-position model. The record is from RNAcentral.